UCCUCCCUGAAAAGGAAGAGAGAGGAGUUAGGACGAGAGUGCCGCGGAGUCCUCCCACACCAGCAUCCCCUCUUCUGUGGUGCCGGGUGGAUGCUGAGCCAUUGGGUGUCUCUCUCAUCGGCUAAUAGAAAUGGCACCGCGGAGAGCUGGUCUUUUCAUUCCAUGUCUCCAACCUCCCUCAGCAAAUGCUGAUUGAAUUUCCAGUUCUGUGAGAAAGGGUCCCUGGAAUCUGACUCCCAGGCCCCAGGGAGUGAUGCCUGGCAUAACCACCGUUCUGCGGAACAACGCUGCACUUCUGUGGGUGAAAGUGCAAGGGUUCCACUGGUUUGCUUUGAAUGAGCACUUUUUCUCUUCAGCUAGAGGUUCCAGGGCCACUGAGGGGGACUGCCAGCGACAACGGGAGCAACUUCUUUUUUCAGAGGGACCCUAGCACACCCCUCGCUACACGCGCCAGCAAAGAGCAAAGCCACGUGUCCAUCCCUGGGGACGUCCCUCCUAUGUGCCAUCUCAUCUGCCACACCAGACAAAUCAAAUGCACAGAGAGCUGUGUCUGCAAACUUUGACUUGAAGGGGUCUUAAAACCAUGCAUUUACAUGUUUGGGGGACAAAUAAUUUUGAGGUUUAAAAGAGAGUUGGCAGCUAAUUGAGAUGGUGCACAGGCGUACCGUGGCCCACGGUAUGGAGGUAGCCAGGCGUGGCCAUCCCUCUAGAAGGAGGCACGCGUUGGUCACUCAGAACGUCACUUAGAUUGACAAAGCAGAACUGCACUUUUUUUGCAUUCAAAUUUUUAUUCAAAGUUUAGCUUCUCCUUGGGUUUCCCCUCUUUUAUGAAAUGAUCAAUUUUGGCGAACAGCCCCCAGGAAGCAAGAUAGAAAAGAAAUAUGCUGUUUACCGCAGCUGAUCAGCAACGAACCAGCACUGUCCUCAUCUAAUUCUACGUCUUCCACACUGCCCAGUAACACGAAUAACCAGAGCACGGACGCCAAGAAUCCUUACAAAGAACGCAGCUAACAGACCGAGGUGAAAACGUUUAUGAAAUUCUAGCCUGCGAAGCCGCCUUAGGAACCAUCUAGUGAGAUUUCCCUCCCAAGACAGGCAGCUUCCUCACAUACCGUGGAGGCCUCCUGCUGGCCUGGGGACUGACAAGUGCAGGGCCCUGCCCCUCGAGGGCCAGCCUCUCCCUCGGGAGCGUGGGUUUUUCCUGUUUGAUCCUGGCUUAACUUGAACAUCCCUGGCAUUGGAGCUGCCCUCCGGAGUAGCCCAGAAGUCGACACUCACCUCACCUUUUGCUGCAUUUCCAAGAGAUCAGCCUUUGGACUUCCUGGAAAGGGGUAGAACCACUGUCCUAUGAAACAAAGUGCUUCUGUGCUGAGAUGGAGCAAGUUCCCUGCAGCCUCUGGCAAGGUAACUUACCAAGAUACAGUCCUAACUUUCUUGAUGCCCCCUUUUGACAGUGAAAAUGGUGGGCAUAUUGGUUUCACUUUUUAUCAUUGAAACUACACUUUGCUGAGCACUGACCAUGCAGGAAACCCGUUUCUCCCCGUUUUCUCUUUUGUGCUCACGGCACCCCCUGGAGUAGGCAUUCCUAUCAUCCUCUCUUUAUAGCCCAGGAGCCAAAGCUCAGCCAGCUGGAAGGAGCCAGGAUUAGAGCCUGCAUGGAUGCAACAGUCACGUUUCUCUCUAUUAUGUGUCUUGCAACUUGGAAUCACAUGAUCUAAACAUCUGCUCCACCCUGGGCUCAGGUCAGUAUAAGGCUGAACUCACAAGGUGAGGGUUAGACUGACCUCCUCUCUCAGGACAGGAAAAGAACAGAGCCUACUGCAAAAGGCAGAUACUCUUGCCUCCACUUUGACACCUCACAACUCCACAGCAACACUACAGGUGGGAAAACGUUCACAUGUAUGUUCGUGGAAAUUAAUGCACAUGGAAACAGGAUGCCCCUAUGAUGUUCUGAUGUGGUUUCCGAGUGAUGGGGGGACAUGCAUAGUUUUUUCUACCCAGUUCCUACCGACAGCACUAGACUUCCAGAUCUGUCUUUUCCUCUCACUACUCAUUUCCAACAGCACCAAAAAGAACAGAAAAGAAAGAUGGUAAAAUGACGUUAAAUGCUAUGACGUCCCUGUCCUCUCCACCUGCCUGCCUCUAAACUCCCUCAUUUCUGGGGGAGCUGAUUUAUUAAUCUAUUGGAACUGCCCCAAGUCAACUCAUUCAGCCAUAUGGCCAUAGUAGGCCAGUUAUGAACUUUUUAUGCAGUAAAAUUUAAUUACAACCAUAUGAUUUGAAAUUUGCUUUGAUACAUUGAAGCUUCCCUUGAACUCUACAGAAAUUAAAUAAUUUUUAAAAGCUUCUUACAAAAAAGUUCAGGGAAAAUACUGAACUUAUUUAAGAAAACACAUGUGUGUAGUACACUGGUUAUAUUUGCACACAGUAAAUGUGCAGAUCUAAAUGCAGCUUUCUGUUCCUCAGGGUGGUCUUGGUAGGCUCUGGCCUUCAAAGCAUCUUUGAGUGACUGGUUGUCAGCCUUGCAUAUAUUGCAAGGACAAUAUUUGCUAAAUGCGGCCCCUCACUCAUCUGGGCCCUCCCAUCAACUCUGAGCCAGCACUCAGCUUUCCCCGCGUGUCUAACAGUCCUUAAGCUGGUAGUGGAGUAAUUAGUUAUCCAGAUGGGAUGAAUCCGUGUUUCCCAGGUGAGCACGGUGUCUGCAAAAUCAUCACAACUGGCAACACCUAGUUCACUCUUGGACAUUCUGACUCAGUGAGCCUGUGGCGGAGCCCAGACAGGGGUCUGGGUGUGCAUCCUAGGUGAUUCAGAGGCAGGUGACCUGCUGGCCAGGUGGGGCGGGGCCGUCCUGACUGCAGUGCUGGGUUCAGACACUGCUCUCCAGGGAGCCUCAUCUCCGCCCUCUUGUGGCCACAUCCCAGAACUGCGGCAAUGUACAGCAUGAUGGCUCUGAGACUUGAAUAUUUGGAGAAUUUAUUUUCUUACUCAGAAUUUACGUUGAGGAGUGGAUCCUGCCUACCACUUUAUCUGACAUAAAAUCUGACACUUUAUCUGAGCUGCUUACUUAGCAGCUCAGUCACUCACUGCUCACUUCACAUAUUAAAAGCUUUUCCUAAGACCGGCUAUCCUCAAGAGCAGGGGCUGUGCCCUGAAUCGCCUGUUGUCCACAGAACCUCCCAGAAUCGUGGCUCAUGGCAGAGGUUCUGCACUCACCAAGGACGUGGGGGGACCGUGUCUGUGCCCAUGUGGAUCCCAGCUGCUGGGCAGAGCACACCACACAUCCAGACUCAAACAGUACAUGGAGUCAAAGGUCAGGUCACUGAAUCAAUGAGUACGUUACACACCAAGAAAGACCCCUCCUCUCUGCACCCCGGGGAGGGCCCCCGGAGGCCUGGUCUCCCCCAAGAUGAAAAUGCAAACGCAGGUGCCUGGGGGUCUCCCAGACCCUUUGGCUUCGCGGUUCCCUCCCAGCCCUGCCUGGAGCUUCAUGUGCCUCCUCUUUUGCUUAAUGAGAGCCGCUGUCUAAGAGUUAAGGGUUUUCUCGGUGACGUUUAACAAUAAUAAAGGUGACUGCUUAUCUAA
Long non-coding RNA from Symphalangus syndactylus (siamang), 3582 nucleotides. RefSeq lists it as uncharacterized. The record is from RefSeq and is a predicted model, not a curated record. Lineage: Eukaryota; Metazoa; Chordata; Mammalia; Primates; Hylobatidae.